UAGGGAAUCUUCCACAAUGGACGCAAGUCUGAUGGAGCAACGCCGCGUGAGUGAAGAAGGGUCUUCGGAUCGUAAAACUCUGUUGUUAGAGAAGAACACGAGUGAGAGUAACUGUUCAUUCGAUGACGGUAUCUAACCAGCAAGUCACGGCUAACUACGUGCCA
This 164-nucleotide ribosomal RNA is filed under the name uncultured bacterium. Its description in RNAcentral is "partial 16S rRNA". It matches the Rfam family "Bacterial small subunit ribosomal RNA", at positions 355 to 510 of the family's 1533-position model. The record is from RNAcentral.